RNAcentral lists this transfer RNA (134 nucleotides) under Aspergillus parasiticus SU-1. It matches the Rfam family "tRNA". From Rfam's summary of the family: Transfer RNA (tRNA) molecules are approximately 80 nucleotides in length. Their secondary structure includes four short double-helical elements and three loops (D, anti-codon, and T loops). The record is from Rfam by way of RNAcentral. Lineage: Eukaryota; Fungi; Ascomycota; Eurotiomycetes; Eurotiales; Aspergillaceae.
GCCCCCGUAGCGCAAUGGUAGCGCGUAAGACUGUACGUUUACAUCACCAUCUUCAUCUGUUGGCCCAACUAAUAAAUCAACAGUCUAGGUUCCAAGCCAUCUUAAGGUUGCGAGUUCGAGCCUCGCCGGGGGCU